GAUCAGCCCACUCCGGCCUCCCCCGGCGGAGGCAGACACCCAGCGGCUGAGCGUCCGCACAGCUGGAUGGGGCUGUUGUUGCAGCGUGCGCACAGCAGCUGCACGCAAACAGCUGGGAACACACAGUGACUGACGGGGGGAUGAAUCCACGGGUCCUAAGAUCCGCCAUGUUCCUGCACCAUGCGCCAUGCAACCUGCCAUCACUGAGGAUGGACCCUACAGCUUCAUGUUGCACAGUGCCUCAUCGUGCAUGUAGAGAUUUAAAGUUUACAACCAUAGGUGACUCGUUGUUAUCAAGUCUUCUGCACUGUGCAAGUGGAAAUUAACAGGAAGUCAAUUCAAGGGGUAAAUGUGAAGCUAGCGCCUCUAGUGGCCAUAUUCCUCCCUCUAUUAUCCAAUUGUAAAAAGGGAGUCUGAGUAAUUAGUGAAGAUAAGCAGAGGUCAUAUCUGACAGCGGAGGCUAACGAUUUAAUCUCAGCCCACAGAACAUGCUGUAUGCACAUAACCCAUCAACCAGGGUCGACAAAAUUAAUUUCAGCCCCAAUAUAUGUUUAAACUUUGUGUCUCUGAGGGAUUGUUGCAGGCAGAUAUUUACAUGUCAGGGCUGGCUGGUGGAUUAUACUGUAGUGUCACACUGAGCGACAGAUCGUGGAGACCGGAUUUCCUCAAGAGUAAAACAGGCAUUGUGUUCCUGGAUUAGACAUUUUGUCUGUCGCAGUGCAUGUUGGUUGAAAAUAGUGCAAGCAUAACGAUCCUCUGUUGUUUUUUGUGUUUUUUGUCGUUUUGACAUUUCAGAGCCUUAACAACGUCCCUCUAAAGUACAUUCUUUUAGCUUGAUAUGAGUAGUAUCAGUCGUUUCAUGUAACUGGUACACAUGUGUUGUGCACAGAAGGUGUUUGAGGUCAAAGUCACCAGCAGGGGUCAAAUCAAGGUAACUGGUGGUGUUGAGGAAUCGUGAAACAGUGAAACAAUAGAUUGGCACGUCUCUGUAGUGUUGUCUGUUGUCUGCUUGUUACAAUUUGUGUCCGAUAUGGUUUUCCAACCAAAAGCUUUAUGAAACUAGAAUUAUUUUGCAUACGAUACAUAUUGGACAACUACUGGUUUCGGUUGUAAUGUCACAAAAUCAGGCUCCUCCUUAAACUUAGAUGUAAGGUGAAGGUCGAGGAACUUUCCCCGUUCAGCAGGUGGUAAUGUCUGACUCUGCACGUGCACAUACAAUGAUGCAUGGGCACAGUAGAACAUCCAAGUGAAGUAACAAUAUCUGGACGAUCCUCAGUCCAGAUACUGACCAUGAAACUUUCUUUUUUUAUUAGAAUAAUUUUAUCAUUUUGGGCAGUGUGACAGAAAAAGUACAGCAUCAUAUGACACAAUCAAACCACACCCUUUAUAAUCCAAAUUCCCAAUCCACCCUUCCCUGCACGAUGGCACAUAGUGACACAAGUAAAAUAAUUACAGAUAGAGUAGAAAAUGUACAAAUAAAAAGCAAUAACAAAAGAAAUUACUGUUCAAGUAUACCUGAAAACCAAAUCAAGAAAUAUUUCAACCUUAUUUGCAUGGAGCCUUUCACACAUAUUUGGGCAGUUGAGUGAAAACCGAGGCAAACACUGGAGGCUAAGUCUGUCCACACUGCUUCCCCUUAUUUAUAUUUAAUAGGCACACAUAGAGAAGUGGUGCAGCCAUUGUUGUCUGCUGUAGAGUACAGUCCACGUUCACCCGCCGAGAGGCAACUGUUCCUGUUAGUUCUCUGAUAACAAAUUCAUCAGACACUACAACAUAUCUCCCUUUGCUGUGAGUGCUUAUCCUCACACAUCACUGGACGGUUGUCACUGAGAUGGAUCACAGAGAGGACACACGAUGACGUACUGCAGUGGUAACUGAGGACAGACGAUAAUGUAAUAUACUGUGCGACUAUACACACGCUCUGAUUAUGACACAGGGUUAAAUAUCCUCACUCUACACUAAAGGAGUAUGAGGAUGGAUUGCAUUUCAGUAGAUGAACAACAGCUGACAAUCCUGGCAGGCCUGUGUCAGCAUGAGUCAGCCUCUGUGAAUAAAAUGCAAUUCAUUGUGGUACGGAAACCACAACUUCUUUCUUUUUUGGGGGUUGGUUUAUUUAUCUAUUUUGUGACAAUGUUUUUGCGCAGCACAAUAAAUUACUUUCAGCUAUGU
Long non-coding RNA from Hippoglossus stenolepis (Pacific halibut), 2169 nucleotides. RefSeq lists it as uncharacterized. NCBI's taxonomy places the organism in Eukaryota, Metazoa, Chordata, Actinopteri, Pleuronectiformes, Pleuronectidae. The record is from RefSeq and is a predicted model, not a curated record. The transcript has 2 exons.